RNAcentral lists this ribosomal RNA (562 nucleotides) under Aspergillus fumigatus. RNAcentral's name for it is "eukaryotic LSU rRNA". The stretch from base 208 to 361 matches the Rfam family "5.8S ribosomal RNA". Lineage: Eukaryota; Fungi; Ascomycota; Eurotiomycetes; Eurotiales; Aspergillaceae. The record is from RNAcentral.
UGAACCUGCGGAAGGAUCAUUACCGAGUGAGGGCCCUCUGGGUCCAACCUCCCACCCGUGUCUAUCGUACCUUGUUGCUUCGGCGGGCCCGCCGUUUCGACGGCCGCCGGGGAGGCCCUGCGCCCCCGGGCCCGCGCCCGCCGAAGACCCCAACAUGAACGCUGUUCUGAAAGUAUGCAGUCUGAGUUGAUUAUCGUAAUCAGUUAAAACUUUCAACAACGGAUCUCUUGGUUCCGGCAUCGAUGAAGAACGCAGCGAAAUGCGAUAAGUAAUGUGAAUUGCAGAAUUCAGUGAAUCAUCGAGUCUUUGAACGCACAUUGCGCCCCCUGGUAUUCCGGGGGGCAUGCCUGUCCGAGCGUCAUUGCUGCCCUCAAGCACGGCUUGUGUGUUGGGCCCCCGUCCCCCUCUCCCGGGGGACGGGCCCGAAAGGCAGCGGCGGCACCGCGUCCGGUCCUCGAGCGUAUGGGGCUUUGUCACCUGCUCUGUAGGCCCGGCCGGCGCCAGCCGACACCCAACUUUAUUUUUCUAAGGUUGACCUCGGAUCAGGUAGGGAUACCCGCUG